UGGGUUAAAGUCCGCCGGUUUGGACAGCUAUUUGUUAAUUAGUCUUAUGUGGGAUCGAGGCCCACUGGCCCAU
This 73-nucleotide transfer RNA is filed under the name Elaphe davidi (Pere David's rat snake). RNAcentral's name for it is "tRNA-Asn". Lineage: Eukaryota; Metazoa; Chordata; Lepidosauria; Squamata; Colubridae. The record is from RNAcentral.